CCAAGAGGAGGCCAGCAUAACUCGUGUUGAUUAACUGCUUGAUGUUUACUAUUAGGAACUGCUGCUCGAGGUUUCUUGCAUCACCCAUAGGGAGACCUCUAUGACAUGACACCAGCCUUAAGUGGGCUCAGGAAAAGGCAAUUUGUUGCCAACUUCAGCACCUCAGGGCUGCGUUUGAACACAGGUGGGAUAAAUUGUUUUCCUUGCCUGUGUGAGAUGUCGAACCUACUCAAGACUAUUUUGCUGCAUGGAAAACCCUGGACACUUGAUACCACAGAAAUGAGGAAAAAUUCUGGGCAGAGCUUCUUUGCUUCUCAACAAGUGCAACAAAAUGUUUCCCAUUUCUAAUAAACAAGGGUUAUUCUUCACUUUGGGUUACCACAUCCCUACUAGGCUGCCAACAAAACCAAAACACUCCAUCACCCAGCAGUGUGCAGUUGCUAAAUAUCCCCAUCACUGACACUGGCACCUUUUCCAGGCCAAAAGGGCAUCAGCCGUGGAGAGCUGUGCAGAUGCUGACUGCAGCACAGCGCCCUGUAAGCACUCAAUUAGCCCGGCCGCUUGUGCUCAACCUCUCAAGCACUCGGUGGAAGUAAAAUGCUUACACGAUCCCUCUGCCUACAAGGCCUUGAAAUCUUUAGGGGGCCUGGCUUUGCUGCCUGGUUUUCCAUUGACAGGCUGAUAGAGACAUCACAAAUCUCUCCAAAGGCCAGUCACUAGGCUUCUUUCAACAUCAAAGGUGUCAAUGUUCACUCUGCCUCGGAGCCUGGGGCAGUAUAAAUCACACAUGAAUAUGUGAACUGAGUGUUUGAGGUUAAACUCGCUCUGUAUAUACAAAUAUUUCUCCUUGAGUAACUGGUAUUAUUGUACUGUUUCCUCAUCAAUGUCAAAUAUUUUCUAUAAAUCAUAAUAUUCCAAUGGAAAACAAAGCUUUUUAUAGGUGAAAAGGGGGAAAAAAACGAUGAACCAGGGUGUUGUGGGAAAAGAAUAACUGAUUUUAAAUAUACAUUGCCAUUUUCUUGGAAGAAAAAGCAGUGAACUGAGGAGUUUUUUGUUGCGCUCUGUCAACAUCCAUCAUUAGGUUAAUGUUCUCUUGGACUGAAU
This 1104-nucleotide long non-coding RNA is filed under the name Strigops habroptila (Kakapo). RNAcentral's name for it is "lncRNA (ENSSHBG00005017806.1)". Lineage: Eukaryota; Metazoa; Chordata; Aves; Psittaciformes; Psittacidae. The record is from RNAcentral.